This 953-nucleotide long non-coding RNA is filed under the name Numida meleagris (helmeted guineafowl). RNAcentral's name for it is "lncRNA (ENSNMEG00000001817.1)". The record is from RNAcentral. Lineage: Eukaryota; Metazoa; Chordata; Aves; Galliformes; Numididae.
UUGUGUGAAGGAGCCAUGCAUUCACCCUCCCUCCCACCUUACCCUAAAUGGAAGAGGACAUCCUUCUAGGUAGUACUGAUUAAGAAGUGUGCCUUUUUCUUUUGAAACACAGGAGUUCUUUCUUGCCAAACUUCGGUUGUUCUUGUGUUCUAGUCUUUUAUUUUCCUACUUGUUUUUAAUGAUAUCUAGCCAGUGACUGAUGUUUCUCAUGGUUGGAAAGUAUAAUUAAAGACACCUGUAUGUCAUACACAGUAUAGAAUCAUUUCCAUAAUUCUUUGCACAUUAUUGAUGAAUUCACAGCAGUGAUUUGUCUCAAGAGAAGCAAAUUGCAUCUGAUUUCACUGGUCUUCUCGUUUGUACUGUGCCUGCUUCACGCUGUUCUGCUAAAAAAGGCCCUAAAUUAAGUAAAAUUUGUUUGCUGGCUCUAUUGCCUCCUGUCACAGUCUAAGGAGAUCUACUGUUGAUAUAUUAUUUAUUUGUUUUUAGAUCAAGAGAGUUUGUGAGAUUCUGUACGCUUGGGACACCAUACAAAGUGGGUGUCAUCCCACUCCUUACUUUUGGCAAUAAAGGCUUACGUUUGAAAAUGCUCCUUACAAAAGAUCAACACGAAGGUAUUUUCUUUUUUUUCCAGCAGAAUAAAACUUCUUCCAUCCUAGCUGAAAACUGUGUUGCUUUUUUAAAAACUCUGCAUAGAUCUGAGUGAAAAGAUGAGAACCAUAUACAAGGUGUACCUUUCAGACUUCCAACAAAAUGAGGCCUUAAAGUCAGUCCCAACAGCCUGAGUUAUAAAAAAUGAUUUGCUGCUGAAGUGACUGGAGGUCUGCAGAGAAUAACUUUGUUCUUAUGUUCCAAGCAGAUUUUCAGACAGAUUAAAGGAGAUUCCCUUGAGUAAUGUGCCACACAUCAUGGCACAUUCAACAGAUCAGUGGAUGCCCUUGAUACCACAGAUGAAG